UACGGGGGGGGCAAGCGUUGUUCGGAAUUACUGGGCGUAAAGGGCGCGUAGGCGGCUUUUCAAGUCGGGCGUGAAAUCUCCGGGCUUAACCCGGAAGGGUCGUUCGAUACUGUUGAGCUAGAGUGUGGAAGAGGCAACUAGAAUUCCGUGUGUAGCGGUGAAAUGCGUAGAUAUACGGAGCAAUACCUGAGGCGAAGGCGGGUUGCUGGGCCAACACUGACGCUGAGGCGCGAAAGCGUGGGGAGCGAACAGG
This 253-nucleotide ribosomal RNA is filed under the name uncultured bacterium. RNAcentral describes it as "partial 16S ribosomal RNA". It matches the Rfam family "Bacterial small subunit ribosomal RNA", at positions 524 to 776 of the family's 1533-position model. The record is from RNAcentral.